Doryrhamphus excisus (bluestripe pipefish) is the source of this 268-nucleotide non-coding RNA. The record is from RefSeq and is a predicted model, not a curated record. NCBI's taxonomy places the organism in Eukaryota, Metazoa, Chordata, Actinopteri, Syngnathiformes, Syngnathidae.
GAUAUAUUAAUGCGGUCAUACUGCGUUUUUAAAAAGAAAAGCAACACGGCUGCAGCAGCGAAAGAACGCAAGUCGGCGUGGGAGAAGAUUACUGCUCGAGUCAAUGCAUGUAAUCCCACCGGCGAAAAAAGAACGUGGAAGCAGCUGAAGAUGAAAUAUAAAAACAUUGUUCAAACAGCCAACAGAAAGCGGGCAUCUGCCCGCAAAACUGGCGGAGGACCACCCCCACCACGUCUGACCGAGGCAGAGGAGCUGGCCAUGAGUCAGA